This 1816-nucleotide long non-coding RNA is filed under the name Nicotiana tabacum (common tobacco). RNAcentral's name for it is "long non-coding RNA (NTAB_LNC000263)". The record is from RNAcentral. Lineage: Eukaryota; Viridiplantae; Streptophyta; Magnoliopsida; Solanales; Solanaceae.
AAAAUUAUAUUUGAACGUAAAAAGAAUCCAUCCUUCAAAAGUUCAAUCAACUCUAGAAUAGAAAUUUAGCUACUCAUAGCUAUGCUAACAACCACGCUAAUAAUAAAAAGUAUUAAUCUACAAAUUAAGGAAUAAUCGUAAAAAGAACUCUUGUAGUUCGGUGCUUGCAAUUGUUCUAGCCGUCUUUCGCCUCCCAAAAUAAUGUUCCCUCUCAAAAAUUAAGUUUAAUAGGUACGCAGUUACAUGGUAGGGUAAAAUUUAGAACCGAAAUAACCAAGUCCCAAGCUGACUGGGAGUCAACGCCUCGGAACAGGGCCCUUGGCUUGUCACGCCCUUUCCAUCUCACCUGGAGCUCGCCUAGCGCCCAUCCAUCCUCGCCCUGGAGCUCGCAUAGCGCGCUCUGAGGCGUGGUGCUUUCGCGGCCUUGCGUCGGGGUUUUUCUCUUGCUCUACUUUAUUGUCUUUGAUACCUCUUUGCCAACUUUCAUUCCACUUCAUUCCCAAAUUGAAGAGAGUUGUGAUGAAGCUAUCAAGUACUAGAGAUAAGUAAAAAUGUCUAAAUGUUAGUUGAAGUAAGUAGAUGAAGUUAAGACUUAAGAUAGUUGUAAGAAAAAUAACUUCUGUCAUAAGUUAGGAAAGUCAUUUUCCUACUUUUGAUGGAAAAUAUUUUCCUAGAAAAUGACUUUUAUCGUUCAAAACAUCGGAAAAUGACUUAUUACGGAUAACACUUUCCUCCCUAUCAAACACACCCUAAAUAUCAAGCUUAAUUUAGUAAAUGCAUAAAACAAAAUAAUAGAGGGAAUAGUUUUGAGCAUAAAAAGAAAAAGCAUAAAAUUAAUAAUUAUGUAAGGCUACACGUGCAAACAUGGUAAAAGUUUGAUAUAUAAAUUUAAAAUUCACCAUUUGUUCAUAAUAUGUAAGAAAUGCAUUUUAAUAAAUAAUCUCAACGAACAAUUUACCAUCAUCCUGUAUACCCUUUUCCUUAUUGACCCACAAAUCUUAACUAAAGAUCAUCAUUGAAUCAUCCUUCAUCCCAAAAAAUUACUUUGGCUUAUAAGCCACAUUAAUAAAUGUAUUUAUUAUCUCACUGUGAUAGUAAUAAGAAUCUCUACUUGGCCUUGAUUAGGUGUUUGCACUAAUUUAAUCCCGCAUCUCCGCAUCUCCACCACCAAUUCGACAAAUUUGGAGUUGAGACGUAAUAGCUUGAUCAUUAAUUUCGGUAGGUGUCUGAAUGCCUCCUGAAAACAAGUUUUAUUAUGAUCAGUAUUUUUCCUUCAUUUCAAUUCUCAAAAUAUUGAAAUCGCUACAAGAAUGACACCAACAAUUCAAUAACAAAAGAAAACCUUGUCUUCUUUUCAUUUCACUUUUUAGGGUUUAAGUAGAGAAUUUUACCAAAGCUAUCUAAGCGUCUUGUUCAUAUUUUUCUUCGAAAGAAAUUGCAUCUUAUUGUGUAUAGAUUCUUAAGCCUAAAAUAACAAAAACAAAUUAAUGAUAUAUUUUUUAAUAUACUUGACUAUUAGUCAUUUUGGUUCUUCACAAGAACAAAAUCAAUCUAAGAUGAGAAAAUUAAGAAAUAGAUCUAUUCAAGUUUUAGGAAUACUAGAUUAAUUAUUUAAAGUCUCACCAUCUUGAACCCCUUUAGCGGAAUCUUCUAAACUUUCAUUUGCCCUGAAAAGAAAAAGAAACGAAACAAAAAAAUAAAAUUGUUAGUUUUUUCAUGUUUGUUAGAAAAUAAAAAGAAUUUUGAUAGAGAAGCGAUAUAUAGGGGAAAAAGAAGAAAAAAGUCUAAGAUAUAGCAAAACCUGUCAGCUUCAGCC